UCCUUCUCUUAUCACCUUGUGCUUGUUUUGGGGCCCAGUGUUGAUAUAUGGUGCAUAUAAGAGGAGUGAGAUAGCAGAAAGACAGGGAAAACCUAACUUACAGGCAUUGUCAGAGGGGAAUCCACCGUGACACUCAAACUUCUGACAGAGCUUAUCUUUAAAGAAAUUGGAAGCAUUAAGUCAGGGGCUGGAAGGAUGGAUCAGCACUGGUAAAAUAAGCAAGAAGAGCAGUCCAAUAUGCACGCAGGGCAUUGGAGAGAUGGAAGAUCUAACAGAAGCAGGAGACACUAAGAAAAGUGAUGCAGAAGAGGAUUAACUGCGUUGAUGCAUCUGCCUCCUACGCCAGGACAGAGAGGACAGAAUGGUUUAAGACACUACCAGGCUGGAGAUUGCAAUACACUGUGAAGAAUCACACACACGCUCCCAUUCCAUUUCAGAGUAACAGCAGGUAGACCAUGAGCAAGGGUAAGUCAUAACCCAGGUGACUUUGCAGUGAAUUGGAUUAGAAACUUUUUUUGUGAAGGAGGAGGUAACUUCAUUUUGAGUGGCUAAAGAGCACAGACAGGGUCAUUUCUUACACCUCUGCAGCUAUUCCUGAAAUGACUCUGUUAUCACACCCCACAACAUACCCUACUCAUACCAGACAGCAAAGCAACUGCAAAUUACACAAGGGCUUCACCACUGGCUGCCUCAUGCUUCCCAUGUGACUUGAUAUUGCUGUGAACUUGCUUUCACUGUCCACCAUGUGCCAUUGUCCUUGCACUGCCUUGGGGCUUCCACUCUCAGAAGAGAAUUUAAAAGAAUUAAAAAUGAUUAAUUAAAAGAUUUAAAAAUGAACAUAACUAUCAACAGAUCCUUAGAAAUACUGAAAGGUAUUUGUCAUAUUUAACAUGUUAAAUGUAUAUUGUCACGCUAUUUAGAGUGCUCAAAUAUAAAUAUUUUAUUUUUAAAACCUGGUGGAAUAACA
RNAcentral lists this long non-coding RNA (967 nucleotides) under Anser brachyrhynchus (Pink-footed goose). RNAcentral describes it as "lncRNA (ENSABRG00000017330.1)". Lineage: Eukaryota; Metazoa; Chordata; Aves; Anseriformes; Anatidae. The record is from RNAcentral.